Molecule: long non-coding RNA, 1902 nt
Filed under: Lynx pardinus (Iberian lynx)
Lineage: Eukaryota; Metazoa; Chordata; Mammalia; Carnivora; Felidae
Source: RNAcentral
GGACCAGCCUCUUUGUCCCACUGCCUUGUUGAUUUAACCUCCAGGGACCCCUGGGACACUGUUUACCCUUCCAAAGACACAACUGGCACCAAGACUCCGAAGCCUGUACCAAGAAGGGGGCUGGGAGCCCCACAGGCAGUCGCUGUUGGCGGCUGCCCAAAGGCUUCCGUCCUCCCCUGUGACGCUAUCCCAGUGUGGCCAUUUUUGAUCCUGAGAAAGGAGUCAGGAGUGGGUCGAUGCAAUUACAAUUCAUUAAGUCCUGCUCUGAAGUCAGGAGCCCAUAUUCCCAGGGAGGAGCCACUGUGGAGAUGCAGAAGAGUAAAAUGCUCGCUCACAGCACAAUGUUUAGAUUCUUCCAGUGGCUGCUGCUGUGUGUGUGUGUGUGUGUGUGUGUGUUAGGGGAGCACCCACAGGGAGGCUGAGGGGGAGCUGAGGGCUCUGAGGGCUCCUAUCACUCACCCCUCCCUGAGCCUGAGCCCUUGGCCCUGAGGGGGUGGCUAAUUUCUUUAUGCUCCCCGAGUGUCUGUACAGCUGCCUGCAGUGUGCCCUCAGGUGAGCUCCUGGGAGGCCGGGGCUCCUCCACCAGUGUGCUGGGGUUUAAAUCCGACAGCAGACUGGACAGGAGCAUUUCAGCUCUGAACUGUACCCCUCCAAAUGUGCUCUGGGAGCCCCAGCAUGGGCAUACUGAGAAAUGCAGUCUGGGGGCGCCUGGGCGGCUCAGUCAGUUAUGUGCUGGAUUUCAGCUCAGGUCAUGACCUCACGGUUUGUGGGUUCGAGCCCCUCGUGGGGCUCUGUGCUGACAGCUCAGAGCCUGGAGCCUGUUUCGGAUUCUGUGUCUCCCCCGCUCUCUCUACCCAUGCGCACACACUCUCUCUUUCUCUCUCAAAAAUAAACAAACAUUAAAAAAAAAAACCCAAAAAACCAACAUGCAGAGUCUCAGGCUGCAGCCCAGACCUACAAAUUGGAACCCGCGUUUUCACAGGAGUCUGGGUGGUCCCUGCCCAGCAAAGCCUGAGACUCAGGGAGCCGACGUGGCAGCCAAGGCCGUGGAAAGAGCCAGCCAGCACAAAUGCUCAUGCGGCCACCUCUAAAACGGCGUCUUUUCUGAGCAGCACCUUGCACCUGGAUCACACAGCCGACUUGGCAACGUUGCCCUCUGGCUCUCACACUGACCGCUAGGGCACGUGGCCUCAUUCCCAUUUUGCAGACGAAGUGACCGAGUGCAGACGGGAGCCCAUAGCCGCGUGGCCCAGGGCUCACCUGGGAGUCAGGGUUGAAGCUCAGGGCGCUUUUCCCUUCGCCGUCGCCCCAGGGCGGCCCAGGGAGGGCCUGCGGAGGAAGAGCAGGUGAGGGGCCUCGAACGGGGAGCAAGCCUGGGUGUCGCGGGUGGAGNGGACCCGCCGCUGCUAACAGGGCUGUUGGUGCCAGUUCCCCCCCCUCCGCGGAUGCCGGGGUGGGGGUGGGGUGUGGGGGGCCUGGCUGACAGCGCAGGGCCUGGGAAUUGCCGGGUUGGAACUCCCACCGAGGGCCUCGACCGCACGUCCUGGUCUGCGUCCUGGGGCGCUCUUCUCUGUGGGCCAAGUGCUUGUAUGGCCCGAUCUUGCUGAACCCACGUAGGACCCUCAGAGGUGGGGCCCCCUGGCUUUCCCUGCUUACACACCAGGACACUGCCACGUGACCUGUGUGUCCACACAGCCAGGAGAUGGGGGUCUAGUAUCUCGACCCACAUCCGUCUAACUUAAGUGUCUAAUCUUUGUGCUGAGUUCCUUCGCGAGGCUUUCUGAAAAGGUGUCAAGUCCAUGUAAUUAUCUCCGGGAGAAAUGCUUGCUUUAAAAAAGAAAACAUUUACCAUGGAUGUUUUAUGAUAGUUUGAAACAUGACAUUUUGAAAUAAAAUCUCCUU